Molecule: ribosomal RNA, 373 nt
Filed under: uncultured eukaryote
Lineage: Eukaryota
Description: partial 18S ribosomal RNA
Rfam family: Eukaryotic small subunit ribosomal RNA
Source: RNAcentral
UAAUAGUGUAUAUUAAAGUUGUUGCAGUUAAAAAGCUCGUAGUUGAAUGUUGGUGUCGAACGAGCGGUCAGCUUCGGCUGUACUGCUCUCUCGACUCCUUCCUUCUGUGGACUACGUCGCACUUUACUGUGUGGCGCUAGGACGCAGAUCGUUUACUGUGAAAAAAUUAGAGUGUUCAAAGCAGGCCGUACGCUUGAAUACAUUAGCAUGGAAUAAUGGAAUAGGACGUCGGGCCUAUUUUGUUGGUUCUAGGACCGUCGUAAUGAUUAAUAGGGACAGUUGGGGCCGUUUAUAUUCCGUAGUCAGAGGUGAAAUUCUUGGAUUUACGGAAGAUAAACUACUGUGAAAGCAUUCGGCAAGGAUGUUUNCGUUA